AGUGAACGCUAGCGGUAGGCCUAACACAUGCAAGUCGAACGGCAGCACAGGAGAGCUUGCUCUCUGGGUGGCGAGUGGCGGACGGGUGAGGAAUACAUCGGAAUCUACUUUUUCGUGGGGGAUAACGUAGGGAAACUUACGCUCAUACCGCAUACGACCUACGGGUGAAAGCAGAGGAUCUUCGGACCUUGCGCGAUUGAAUGAGGCGAUGUAGGAUUGGCUAGUUGGCGGGGUAAAGGCCCACCAAGGCGACGAUCCGUAGCUGGUCUGAGAGGAUGAUCAGCCACACUGGAACUGAGACACGGUCCAGACUCCUACGGGAGGCAGCAGUGGGGAAUAUUGGACAAUGGGCGCAAGCCUGAUCCAGCCAUACCGCGUGGGUGAAGAAGGCCUUCGGGUUGUAAAGCCCUUUUGUUGGGAAAGAAAUCCAGCUGGCUAAUACCCGGUUGGGAUGACGGUACCCAAAGAAUAAGCACCGGCUAACUUCGUGCCAGCAGCCGCCGUAA
Molecule: ribosomal RNA, 506 nt
Filed under: uncultured bacterium
Lineage: Bacteria
Description: partial 16S ribosomal RNA
Rfam family: Bacterial small subunit ribosomal RNA
Source: RNAcentral